Molecule: long non-coding RNA, 1067 nt
Filed under: Cricetulus griseus (Chinese hamster)
Lineage: Eukaryota; Metazoa; Chordata; Mammalia; Rodentia; Cricetidae
Description: lncRNA (ENSCGRG00015043215.1)
Source: RNAcentral
ACUCAAGCUUACUGAUAGAAAUCACGUUGCUCAAUAGCUGGUGACUCAGUAGAAAGUGCCCUUCAGUUUCAACAAGCAGGCUUUUAGCUCAUGACAUUUUCUAAGGAAAUCAAUCUGAAGAUUUUCUUCCCACACCUAUUAAGAAUACCAGAAGUUGUUUUGACGAAGUAAAGUUACACUGAACCUAGAGAUCAUCUACCCAAGGGAUUCUCUGAUCACCACCCUCUCACAGCUUGGAUUACAGGCAUGAGCUACAAGACCCUGCUUUUUAUACCAUACUGGGGACCAACACUUGAAUCUUUAUGCUUGCAUGGCAAGCACUUUUCAGACUGAGGCAUCCCCCCAUUCCACCCAUAUGCAUUCUUGAAAAAGGGAAUCAGACUUUUGCUCGAAGCUGGCCUUUUAAGUGGACAGAGUGAGAUUUCAGUUCAACAUCUCCCCACUCCUUCUCAGCAAGAUCUGAAAUUCCUGUCUCUAGGAACAGUGUUUUGUUUCACAAUGGAAAGGAAUGAGCUUGAAACACAGAGGCUGGCGUUCUGAAUCACAGAUGGUGAAUGGGCAGUGUUUAUCCGUGUUGGUGAGCAGCACCAUGUCCCUUGAGAUGAAUGGGAAGUUAAAGCACAAGAAAGCCCACAGUGCCUGAUAAGGUGCAGAGAGAUUCAACAGGAAGAGGAGGAAGGAAGAGCAGGGUGAUGAUGUCAAAGACCAAGCCUAACUCCACAGUUUGCUCAAAGGCAACUCAGUCCAGUUUGAAGUCACCUGGACACCUAGAGCCAGUGUGUGUUCAGAUGUGGGCCUAGGAAGACCAGCAAUGAAGAAGCAAGCUUGACAAGUGCACAUGACCAGGGCCCAGAACAGCCCCAUUAACUGCACUUCAAAUACUGGCUAAGCCAAAAGGAAUGGUCUUCAAACCUGCCUGCCUUAAAAGCUCCACUCAGUUCAGUUAUACACAGCAAAUGUCAUCCUCUCCUAAAACAGCCUGUGACAAUGAAAAGGUUCCAUCUUCAACACAGUGAUUUACUUUUCUGGGAGAGACCUUGAAAGCACAAAGGAAAGUUUAAUUCAGG